RNAcentral lists this long non-coding RNA (428 nucleotides) under Marmota monax (woodchuck). Lineage: Eukaryota; Metazoa; Chordata; Mammalia; Rodentia; Sciuridae. The record is from RNAcentral.
GAGGUAAUCUCCUAUUCUUUUCAGGGAGUAAACAUCUCCUGUGUAGCAGGUUGUGUGGCUGCACAGUCUCCAUCUAUAUCACCAUAUGUGAGGUAUGGAGGCCUCACUGGAGAGCCUGCUAAGAACUUUGUCAUUAUAUGUUUUUCCUUUAUGAUGAAAUACCCCUAAUUCAUUUUUAGCAAUAGCAGGGGUGGUUGCUAGAUGUGUGUAUGUGUGUGUGUAUGUGUGUGUGUGUGUGUGCGCGCGCGCGUGCGGGCACACACACUAUUUCUGUGGUCCAAAGGCAAGAUUUAUGAUUAUGGAAUAGACAGUAGUUUGCUCUCUCCAUUUUAGUUUUAAAAACUGUUUUCCUUUGGAAUUCCAGAGCUAAUGUUUUGUCUGCUUUCUAUCUGACUCUCUUUGGAGAGUUGUGUGUGUGUGUGUGUGUC